RNAcentral lists this ribosomal RNA (492 nucleotides) under uncultured bacterium. RNAcentral's name for it is "partial 16S ribosomal RNA". It matches the Rfam family "Bacterial small subunit ribosomal RNA", at positions 29 to 507 of the family's 1533-position model. The record is from RNAcentral.
AGUGAACGCUGGCGGUAGGCCUAACACAUGCAAGUCGAACGGCAGCACAGUAAGAGCUUGCUCUUACGGGUGGCGAGUGGCGGACGGGUGAGGAAUACAUCGGAAUCUACUUUUUCGUGGGGGAUAACGUAGGGAAACUUACGCUAAUACCGCAUACGACCUACGGGUGAAAGCAGGGGAUCUUCUGACCUUGCGCGAUUGAAUGAGCCGAUGUCGGAUUAGCUAGUUGGCGGGGUAAAGGCCCACCAAGGCGACGAUCCGUAGCUCGUCUGAGAGGAUGGUCACCCACACUGGAACUGAGACACGGUCCAGACUCCUACGGGAGGGAGCAGUGGGGAAUAUUGGACAAUGGGGGCAAGCCUGAUCCAGCCAUACCGCGUGGGUGAAGAAGGCCUUCGGGUUGUAAAGCCCUUUUGUUGGGAAAGAAAAGCAGAAGGUUAAUACCCCGCUGUUCUGACGGUACCCAAAGAAUAAGCACCGGCUAACUUCGUG